AUCAGCAUGCCGCGUGUGUGAAGAAGGCCUUCGGGUUGUAAAGCACUUUUGUCCGGAAAGAAAUCGCGCUGGCUAAUACCUGGCGUGGAUGACGGUACCGGAAGAAUAAGCACCGGCUAACUACGUGCCAGCAGCCGCGGUAAUACGUAGGGUGCGAGCGUUAAUCGGAAUUACUGGGCGUAAAGCGUGCGCAGGCGGUUUUGUAAGACAGGCGUGAAAUCCCCGAGCUCAACUUGGGAAUGGCGCUUGUGACUGCACGGCUAGAGUAUGUCAGAGGGGGGUAGAAUUCCACGUGUAGCAGUGAAAUGCGUAGAGAUGUGGAGGAAUACCGAUGGCGAAGGCAGCCCCCUGGGACGUCACUGACGCUCAUGCACGAAAGCGUGGGGAGCAAACAGGAUUAGAUACCCUGGUAGUCCACGCCCUAAACGAUGUCAACUAGUUGUUGGGGAUUCAUUUCCUCAGUAACGUAGCUAACGCGUGAAGUUGACCGCCUGGGGAGUACGGUCGCAAGAUUAAAACUCAAAUGAAUUGACGGA
Molecule: ribosomal RNA, 536 nt
Filed under: uncultured bacterium
Lineage: Bacteria
Description: bacterial SSU rRNA
Rfam family: Bacterial small subunit ribosomal RNA
Source: RNAcentral